This is an RNA transcript of Rosa rugosa (rugosa rose), 3457 nucleotides long. RefSeq lists it as uncharacterized. NCBI's taxonomy places the organism in Eukaryota, Viridiplantae, Streptophyta, Magnoliopsida, Rosales, Rosaceae. The record is from RefSeq and is a predicted model, not a curated record. The transcript has 18 exons.
GCCCUCUCUUUCUUGACCAAUUAACGCACAGCCAUGGAACCACUCUGGAGAAGCCGCUCUCCACUCACCUUCGACGCUUCAAUUGGAAUGCACAGAAGCCUCCAAUUCUUCUCUUUGUCUUCUCGCUUCCAUCUCUCUGUCUUCAAAAAUUUGGGAGAUGAGUUUCGGCAGAGAAAAAGACUGAAUUUAUGGGGAAGAUCGAUCAUCUUAUCUUGGCUACGGAAAAUCCAUAAAUGGCAAGUGGAAGGCAACUGGCCCAGUUAUCUCUACAAGAGCCUGAGUGAAUUUAUUGGCUUUGAAUAUAGACCCAAGAGAGAAAAUGGCGAGAAGCAAAUGUUCACUGUUAGAUCAGUGAGGAUCACGCAGCAGAGCAGUCAAGGCAAUCCUAGCUCACCCAAUGGUCCUGUGGGUGGUGUUGGGGGUGAACUCGACUUAUGAAAUUCAGUCUGAUGAUGAUUACAAAGUGGGUCAGCGAAGGGCAUUUGCAAGUGGUCGAAGAAAAACUAAGAUUGUCUGUACAAUUGGUCCUUAUACAAGCUCACGUGAAAUGACAUGGAAACUUGCAGAAACUGGGAUGAAUGUAGUGCGUUUGAAAAUGUCUCAUGGGGACCAUACGUCGCACCAGAAAACUAUUGAUCUUGUCAAAGAAUACAACUCUCAAUUCAAAGACAAGGUUAUAGCCAUAAUACUGGACACCAAGGGUCCUGAGGUUAGGAGUGGAGAUGUACCACAACCAAUUCUGCUUACAGAGGGACAAGAGCUUAACUUUACAAUUAGAAGAGGAGUUAGCACCAAAGAUACCGUUAGUGUAAACUAUGAUGACUUUGUGAAUGAUGUGGAGGUUUGAGACAUAGUUCUGGUUGAUGGGAAAGCUGAAGGUGUUAUAUAUGAAGAUGAUGGUGAUGGAUAUGAAUUCCUGGAAGGAGGAUUCUUGUUGACACACUAUGUUGCUGAACUUCAAUCAUCAACACUUACUCUCAAAAUUUCAAAAACUGAAGGAUCUUGGAAGAGGCCAAACCGUCGCUUGCAUGUGCAAUUAUUGCUUGGUGGAGGUGCCAUGGUUGAUAUAUGGGGUGAGGAUGGAGAGAUUCUUCAACUUUCAAUGCCUUCAGAACAGGAGGUCUCACAGCUGGUUUCUACCAGUGAGAAACAGUACAGAACUCGUUUGGAUUUUGCUUUCAGCUUUCGAGUGUGCGCAGUCGCAGUGCAAUGAGAGGAACAAUGAGUUCAGUUUGCUGGUGAGCUUCAACCCAAGGGUUGUAACUACCACUUGAAGGUUCCUUCCGGGGAUCCCAAGAUGCUUAAUAGACAAGUGGUGAAAUCUGAGUUUCCUACUAUUAAGAUUUUGCCUGUGAAUUUCAUCAAGUGCAAGACGCCCUUAAGUACAAGGUGAGGCUGCAGUUUGUUCUUGGCUGAAGAGAACUAAGAAGGUUCCAAGGAGGAGUGCAAAAUCAAAUCAGAAACUGGCAAAGAAAUAUGAGAAUAACAAAGACGACGAAGAGGAUCAAGAAGAAGCCGAUGAAGAUGAGAAGGAAGAGAAUGAUGCCCAGGACUAAUAUGUGAUUUGCAUUUUGAUUGGGUCCAGUUUGUGACGAGAAGAUUGGGUUGAAAACAAGUGGAACAGAUAGAGGUUCUGGGCGGUUGGUUGGGCUGAUUGGGGAAAACGGUGGAGCUGCAGACGCCAAAAAUCUACGGGUGAAGGUGUGGGAAGCGGUGGGAAUAGAGAAUUGCGGACUAAAUCUCCUCCAAAAGAUAGUCUGUGACUGUCAGCGUGCUGUUUUGGUCCUCCUUGGCUCCUUGGCCGAGCCUAGGUCCAGUCCUUCCACUUCUAUGUACCUGACUCUUGAUGUGGGUGAUCGUGUUUUAGCUGAGAAGGUUUCAUAUCUCUUUAGAAAGCCUGAGGUUUCAUAUAUAGUGAUUUUCAAGGCACCUCCAAUCUUGCAGGAAAUUGGCUUUAGCUCGGGCAAUGUAUUUAUAAAAAGAAUUGUGGCCAGGGGUGGAGAUUAUGUUGAGGUACAUGAUGGGAAAUUGUUGGUGAAUGGUGAAAUUGAAAAUGAAAAUUACAUAUUGGAGCCUCUUGCCUAUAAAAUGGAACCAAUUAAGCGUAUGUCUGUGAUGGGGGACAACCGCAACAACAGUUGACUCUCAUAACUGGUAAUUUCAACUCUCAGUAUUAUUUUCGAUUAUCCCCACUAAACAUUUUUGCUUCUGGGUCAGAGGUAUUUCCUUUGUAUUUUACUACCAGUCUCUGUGCAUUGAAUUGAUCUGUUUACUGUGUUUUGUUUGGUAGUGUUGUAGUUUGUUCUAGAGUGAAAGGUGCUAAUUAGAGGUUUAGACUGAUCUGUAUGUACCCAGCUUGAAUUCCAUGUGGCAUCUUCUGCAACAUAAGUUACUUCAACUUUGAAAAGCUGUCGAAUUUACUGAGCCAUAUGUGAAAAUUGGUUUUCCAAGCUCUUAAAAGCGAUUAAACUUUGUUCUGUUGGAUUUGUUUGCUUAUAGGAUCAUCAUACGUACAAUUACUGCUUUUGGCUGAAUAGUCUUUGAGUUGAUCUUCAGCAAAUAAAUGCCCAAAGUUGAAUAACUCUAACCACUAAUAUGAGUGAUUCAUAUCAAUGUGCUCAGUUACUUUACUAAUAAGUAAAAGCAUGAAACUUAUGUGAAUUAACUUUUCUACAAUUCUUUAGAUAAAUAUUACAAGCAGCUUCUCUGCCUCUCUUGAACCUUUAUAGGAUAGCAGAGGUCUAGGAAUAGUUCCAAAUCUAUUUUGAAGUAUGAAAAUAUGAAUCCAGUAUUCCCCUUCAUCAUUGCUGGUAGCCCUCCUAAAUUUUUAAUUCUUAAUCAUAUAGUUCAAAGAUUUAAAAUGUUUAAAAAAUGAGAUUGGAAAGACACAUUCUGAGUUUUACUGUUUUACAUAUCUUAUGCUUUGCUCAUGGAAUCCAAGAACAAGGUGAAAGCUGCUAAUGAAUUUCAAAUCUUGGGAUAUCAAGGUCUCCAUAUGUUCAUUUUAAACUUGAAUAUCGCAUUUCGUCUGUUUCUUACUCAUUGUAGACAUGCAUUAAGCUAUUAUUAUUUUGUUCAGAGUGUUCAGCCCAUAGAAAUAUUUAAUGAUGCAUUUAGGAAAUUUCUUGCACACUUAAUAAGAAGACCGCCAAAAGCUCCUGAGGUAUGCAACCCUUAUACUCUUUGUGCUGGAUUUAUUUUAGUAUUGGUUGUGUACAAGUCACUUGCCAGUUUAAUCUUUUUGAACUGUCAGGAGGAUUCAGCAGAGGAACGCUUACCCGCCCGAAGCGUUGGAACUGUCCUUUCCAAGACAAGAAAAGGACAGCUUUGCAUCUGCAUUUGUUUCAACAUUAUUAUUCCCAGACACUGCUCACUAGGUUUGUCAAGUAAUUGAAUCUCUGUUUUUAUUGAAUUUGUGGUCUUUCUUCUGAAUUGAAAGUGAUUUUUUUUUUUUUUU